Long non-coding RNA from Betta splendens (Siamese fighting fish), 1972 nucleotides. NCBI's taxonomy places the organism in Eukaryota, Metazoa, Chordata, Actinopteri, Anabantiformes, Osphronemidae. The record is from Ensembl.
UUAACCAGCUAUGGCACUACGCGGCUCUAUUUAAGUUACUGUAAAUGUCCGGUCACAUUGAGCACAUCUGUGACGUUAUGAUGUCAUAGAAUGUUAAGUAACCCCAAGGUGAACCUGUGGACGUUUUACGUGCUGCAGCAGGCAUUAAUCAUCCCGUCCUCUCUCCUCCGCCUACUAAACCAGGGCCGUUCAGCGACUGGGAGUUGUGGUGUUGGCAAACAGAUCCAGACGAGCGAACAUCCAGUCUAAUUACACGUUCCUUUUCCACCACUGAGAGGUUAAACAAGGAAUUCUGUAAUCUCCUUUUAGGCCUGACCAUAUAAGGAUAUCCAGGAAACACAUUUGAGGUUCAGGGAGGAAAUACAGGAGGUCUUUAUUUAGACUUACUACUGUAUGUGCUUUAUUUCCAGGAAUGAGUCUGUUUUUCCAAGAACAUCGUGCAACCCUGAGGAUGACGGGUCGCAGAAAAUUUAGCCUCUGAGCGUGUGUGUUUGUUUUCCCUCCAUAUUAAAUAAUCUCAAUUUGUCUGGUCUAGAUAAACAUUUUACGUCUGUGUUUGAACAAUGCACCACAGUCUGUAAUUCAUCAUUAGGCAACAAAUUACCAUCCAACCACUGGUCAACCAGAUAGUAAAUAAAAAAACACCCAUUUCACCGGAAACAGGCACGAUCCUGUCUGGCCCUCCUUUCCUCUGUGAGUGGGUGAGUUUGUUUUUCCAGCAGGCCACAAACCCUAUAGUUUAGUAUGCUGCUCUAUAUUUCACUUACAAUUUGAGAGGGGCAGGAAAACUACCGUCUGAAUAAAAACAUGUGUGUGUGUAUUUGUGGUGUGUGAGAUGAUGUGCAAUCAUCGUGCCAGCGUCUGUUUUGUUUAGUACUUGCUCUCCAGGACAAAUACACCUUUGCAUGUCGCCGGGAGUGACAGACAUCCGGGUGGAAGUGAUGCAAUCAUCCUAAUUGAGGUUCAUUCUAUACAUAAGUGGAGUCUGGUGCAGCCUCUCCACCCAUCGCGCUUUUACCGUCUCGACCGCCAGCUUCCAUACGCGGCUCUGAACAGCCUCUGGAUCCUCCUGUCUGCUGCUAAAGACCCGCUAACUACGCUUCUCACAGCUCUCAAUCCAACAAACAGAAGAAUGAAGCUAUCUUUGGUAAUACUUUGCCUCAUUGGGGCAGUUUUUGCCAACCCAAUUCCAUACAACGCUGUUUUGGAAACUAGUGAGCUUGAGGCGAACACGACUGAAAGCUUGUCUCUGUCGCAAUCAUCUGAAAAUGACAUGUCUCAGCAUCAGGUACUGCACAUUCAUGCCAGCAAUGAGUAAAUGAUUAUUUUGAGUCACUUUUGAAGAUUCAAUUUUGAAAAUUCAUUCUGUCUUUGUUGCAGAACUCUGCCGAAAAUACCUCAGAGCAAGUGAGUCCUGGUGAUUUCUGUCCUCUUCCUUACACAAGGAGCAGGAUGUAAUUGUGGUGUACUGUAACUAUGUGCAAGUGAAUUCAUCUAAUUAAAUUAUAUCGAUCUUUCCAGAGUUCCGAGUCAGAGUCGCUAGAAACCACAUCAGAGGACACGGUAGGUCAUGUCAUCUGUUUACAUCCCAACAUUACUGGUGUUGGUACUUGAGUAGCAGGUUAUAUUAAAAUAGUCACACUGUUUACCCUCACUACUCAUAGAUUUAAAGAUGAAAAUGAAAACAUAAAGUAUUGUCUUUAGUAAAGAAUGACAGAAAUGAGAAUGAGUGUAACAUGGCUUAUUUACCUACAACUUUGUGAAUUGUCCCUUUUAAGUUUAUUCUUUUCUAAUGUUUAAUAUUUGUCUUCACCAAACAGACUUCAGAGGAGAGUAACAGUCAGUCAGAUGAGAGCAAUCAGGUAAAUGAUCAAUAUGAUUUGCCACUUCUUAAAGUAAUCACAUUAUUCCGACUCUGACCACACCUUUUUAUUAUUUGAUACCCUUCUGCAGAUCACUCAGGAUUUAAUCU